AUUGCACGCUUGCGGCCGGCCUAACACAUGCAAGUCGCACGAGUGGCGGACGGGUGAGUACUGUCUGGGAAACUGCCUGCUGGAGGGGGAUAACUACUGUAAACGGUAGCUAAUACCGCAUACCAUCAGAUGUGCCCCGAUGGGAUUAGCUAGUUGGUGGGGUAACGGCUCACCCAGGCGACGAUCCCUCGCUGGUCUGAGAGGAUGACCAGCCACAAUGGAAAUGAGACACGGUCCAGACUCCGACGUGAGGAAGCAGUGGGGAAGAUUGCACAAUGGGAGCAAGCCUGAUGCAGCCAUGCCGCGUGUAUGAAGAAGGCCUUCGGGUUGUAAAGUACUUGCAGCGGGGAGGCGUUACCCGCAGAAGAAGCACUAGCGAAAUCCGUGCCAGCAGCCGCGGUAAUUC
This 406-nucleotide ribosomal RNA is filed under the name uncultured bacterium. RNAcentral's name for it is "partial 16S ribosomal RNA". It matches the Rfam family "Bacterial small subunit ribosomal RNA", at positions 30 to 526 of the family's 1533-position model. The record is from RNAcentral.